UUUCCGUAGGUGAACCUGCGGAAGGAUCAUUAUUGAAUUCGCCUUUGAAGUUGUUGCUGGCCCCUUAGGGGUAUGUGCACACUUCAUAAGUCAUUUCAACCACCUGUGCACCUUUUGUAGUCUUGGGUGACGCUCCUAUCAAAGGAAACUUUGGAUUUGAAUGCUGCAGGCGCAAGUCCGCUUCAUUCUACAGCUGAUCCCGGGUCUAUACUUUAUACACCCUAUUUAUGUCCUAGAAUGUGAUUCAGGGGCUUCAAUGCCUUUAAAAUCUAUACAACUUUCAGCAACGGAUCUCUUGGCUCUCGCAUCGAUGAAGAACGCAGCGAAAUGCGAUAAGUAAUGUGAAUUGCAGAAUUCAGUGAAUCAUCGAAUCUUUGAACGCACCUUGCGCCCUUUGGUAUUCCGAAGGGCAUGCCUGUUUGAGUGUCAUUAAAUUCUCAACCUUGAAAGGCUCUUGUAGUCUUCCAAGGCUUGGAUAUGGGGGUUGCGGGCUUUAACAAGUCGGCUCCUCUUAAAUGUAUUAGCUGGGUUUGCGCCUUCAGCCUAUUGGUGUGAUAAUUAUCUACGCCUCUUGGGUCGUUUGCGUGUUUAUCUUUCUAGCUUCUAAUCGUCCGCAAGGACAACACUUGACCAUUUGACCUCAAAUCAGGUAGGACUACCCGCUGAACUUAA
This 672-nucleotide ribosomal RNA is filed under the name Hohenbuehelia atrocoerulea. RNAcentral describes it as "eukaryotic LSU rRNA". The stretch from base 276 to 429 matches the Rfam family "5.8S ribosomal RNA". Lineage: Eukaryota; Fungi; Basidiomycota; Agaricomycetes; Agaricales; Pleurotaceae. The record is from RNAcentral.